Molecule: ribosomal RNA, 510 nt
Filed under: uncultured bacterium
Lineage: Bacteria
Description: partial 16S ribosomal RNA
Rfam family: Bacterial small subunit ribosomal RNA
Source: RNAcentral
GACGAACGCUGGCGGCGUGCUUAACACAUGCAAGUCGAACGAAGAGCGAUGGAAGCUUGCUUCUAUCAAUCUUAGUGGCGAACGGGUGAGUAACGCGUAAUCAACCUGCCCUUCAGAGGGGGACAACAGUUGGAAACGACUGCUAAUACCGCAUACGAUCCAAUCUCGGCAUCGGGACUGGAUGAAAGGUGGCCUCUAUUUAUAAGCUAUCACUGAAGGAGGGGAUUGCGUCUGAUUAGCUAGUUGGAGGGGUAACGGCCCACCAAGGCGAUGAUCAGUAGCCGGUCUGAGAGGAUGAACGGCCACAUUGGGACUGAGACACGGCCCAGACUCCUACGGGAGGCAGCAGUGGGGAAUCUUCCGCAAUGGACGAAAGUCUGACGGAGCAACGCCGCGUGAGUGAUGACGGCCUUCGGGUUGUAAAGCUCUGUUAAUCGGGACGAAUGGUUCUUGUGGGAAUAGUGCGAGGAUUUGACGGUACCGGAAUAGAAAGCCACGGCUAACUACGUG